GACGAACGCUGGCGGCGUGCUUAACACAUGCAAGUCGAACGGAAAGGCCCUGCUUUUGUGGGGUGCUCGAGUGGCGAACGGGUGAGUAACACGUGAGUAACCUGCCCUUGACUUUGGGAUAACUUCAGGAAACUGGGGCUAAUACCGGAUAGGAGCUCCUGCUGCAUGGUGGGGGUUGGAAAGUUUCGGCGGUUGGGGAUGGACUCGCGGCUUAUCAGCUUGUUGGUGGGGUAGUGGCUUACCAAGGCUUUGACGGGUAGCCGGCCUGAGAGGGUGACCGGCCACAUUGGGACUGAGAGACGGCCCAGACUCGUACGGGAGGCAGCAGUGGGGAAUAUUGCACAAUGGGCGGAAGCCUGAUGCAGAAACGCCGCGUGCGGGAUGACGGCUUUCGGGUUGUAAACCGCUUUCGCCUGUGACGAAGCGUGAGUGACGGUAAUGGGUAAAGAAGCACCGGCUAACUACGUG
RNAcentral lists this ribosomal RNA (468 nucleotides) under uncultured bacterium. RNAcentral's name for it is "partial 16S ribosomal RNA". It matches the Rfam family "Bacterial small subunit ribosomal RNA", at positions 28 to 507 of the family's 1533-position model. The record is from RNAcentral.